RNAcentral lists this ribosomal RNA (425 nucleotides) under Verrucomicrobiota bacterium. Its description in RNAcentral is "Verrucomicrobia bacterium partial 16S ribosomal RNA". It matches the Rfam family "Bacterial small subunit ribosomal RNA", at positions 355 to 776 of the family's 1533-position model. Lineage: Bacteria; Pseudomonadati; Verrucomicrobiota. The record is from RNAcentral.
UGAGGAAUAUUGGUCAAUGGGCGAGAGCCUGAACCAGCCACGUCGCGUGAAGGAAGACUGACCUUACGGUUUGUAAACUUCUUUUGUAGAGGGGUAAUGGCAGAUACGUGUAUUUGCGUGAAAGUACUCUACGAAUAAGCAUCGGCUAACUCCGUGCCAGCAGCCGCGAUAAUACGGGGGAUGCGAGCGUUAUCCGGAAUUAUUGGGCUUAAAGGGCAUCUAGGCGGUAAGACAAGUUGAAGGUGAAAACCUGUGGCUCAACCAUAGGCUUGCCUACAAAACUGUUGAACUAGAGUACUGGAAAGGUGGGUGGAACUACACGAGUAGAGGUGAAAUUCGUAGAUAUGUGUAGGAAUGCCGAUGAUGAAGAUAACUCACUGGACAGAAACUGACGCUGAAGUGCGAAAGCUAGGGGAGCAAACAGG